Molecule: ribosomal RNA, 241 nt
Filed under: Streptomyces olivoreticuli
Lineage: Bacteria; Bacillati; Actinomycetota; Actinomycetes; Kitasatosporales; Streptomycetaceae
Description: partial 16S ribosomal RNA
Rfam family: Bacterial small subunit ribosomal RNA
Source: RNAcentral
GCGUAAAGAGCUCGUAGGCGGCUUGUCACGUCGGGUGUGAAAGCCCGGGGCUUAACCCCGGGUCUGCAUCCGAUACGGGCAGGCUAGAGUGUGGUAGGGGAGAUCGGAAUUCCUGGUGUAGCGGUGAAAUGCGCAGAUAUCAGGAGGAACACCGGUGGCGAAGGCGGAUCUCUGGGCCAUUACUGACGCUGAGGAGCGAAAGCGUGGGGAGCGAACAGGAUUAGAUACCCUGGUAAUCCAC